CCUACGGGCUGCACCAGUGGGGAAUAUUGGACAAUGGGCGAAAGCCUGAUCCAGCAAUGCCGCGUGUGUGAAGAAGGUCUCCGGAUUGUAAAGCACUUUCGGUAGGGAGGAAGGUAGUGUAGUUAACACCUGCACUAUUUGACGUUACCUACAGAAGAAGCACCGGCUAACUCCGUGCCAGCAGCCGCGGUAAUACGGAGGGUGCGAGCGUUAAUCGGAAUUACUGGGCGUAAAGCGCAUGCAGGCGGCCUGUUAAGUCAGAUGUGAAAGCCCGGGGCUUAACCUCGGAAUUGCAUUUGAAACUGGCAGGCUAGAGUCUUGUAGAGGGGGGUAGAAUUUCAGGUGUAGCGGUGAAAUGCGUAGAGAUCUGAAGGAAUACCAGUGGCGAAGGCGGCCCCCUGGACAAAGACUGACGCUCAGAUGCGAAAGCGUGGGGAGCAAACAGGAUUAGAUACCCCUGUAGUC
RNAcentral lists this ribosomal RNA (465 nucleotides) under uncultured bacterium. RNAcentral's name for it is "bacterial SSU rRNA". It matches the Rfam family "Bacterial small subunit ribosomal RNA", at positions 338 to 795 of the family's 1533-position model. The record is from RNAcentral.